GAUGAACGCUGGCGGCGUGCCUAAUACAUGCAAGUCGAACGAGGUGCCUUUGUAGCAAUACGAAGGUAUCCUAGUGGCGAACGGGUGAGUAACGCGUUGGUGACCUACCCCAAAGUGUGGGAUAACAGAUCGAAAGAUCUGCUAAUACCGCAUGUGGUCUUCGGAUUUAGAAACUGAUGACUAAAGGAGCAAUUCGCUUUGGGAGGGACCUGCGUCCCAUCAGCUAGUUGGUGAGGUAAUGGCUCACCAAGGCUACGACGGGUAGGGGACCUGAGAGGGUGGCCCCCCACAAUGGAACUGAAACACGGUCCAUACACCUACGGGUGGCAGCAGUAGGGAAUAUUGCACAAUGGGCGAAAGCCUGAUGCAGCAACGCCGCGUGUGCGAUGAAGGCCUUCGGGUCGUAAAGGCACUUUUCUGAGGGAUGAGCAAGGACAGUACCUCAGGAAUAAGUCUCGGCUAACUACGUGCCAGCAGCCGC
RNAcentral lists this ribosomal RNA (481 nucleotides) under uncultured bacterium. RNAcentral's name for it is "bacterial SSU rRNA". It matches the Rfam family "Bacterial small subunit ribosomal RNA", at positions 28 to 518 of the family's 1533-position model. The record is from RNAcentral.